This is a non-coding RNA of Odocoileus virginianus texanus, 348 nucleotides long. The record is from RefSeq and is a predicted model, not a curated record. Lineage: Eukaryota; Metazoa; Chordata; Mammalia; Artiodactyla; Cervidae.
GGCUGGGGCAGCUCACUGCCCCUUUGAUGAGAACAAGCGCCAGCCGGGGCCUGGGGCAAUCAUGCAGGAAGAACUGACUCCAAAAUACAAUGGUUCAACUUUAGAAAGAGAUUUCUCCAUCACUGAAAUAUAAAACUAAUUCAAAGUAAGAGAUGAAUUACUUUUGGGAUCCUGAUGAUUCAUUGCCAAGAACAUCACCUCAAAUUUCUGAGAAUCUACUAUCACAUCCUUAAGCUAUAUAAGAACAGAGAAUAAAUGCAAAACAAAUAAGCCAUUGCAAAGGAGUAAAUGUGCCUGAUAGCUCUGGAGAAAGUUUUGUAAGGAGCAAAGGAGAAAGAGAGAGAAAGA